Molecule: long non-coding RNA, 930 nt
Organism: Pan troglodytes (chimpanzee)
Lineage: Eukaryota; Metazoa; Chordata; Mammalia; Primates; Hominidae
Exons: 3
Source: RefSeq, a predicted model, not a curated record
UCCUCCCUCUUCCCCUCCUUUCCUCCCUCUUCCCCUCCUUUCCUCCCUCUUCCCCUCCUUCCCUCCCUCCUCAAGCACAACACAUCCACAUCGGCCCCCAGCCCAGCGCAGCUUUGAGAGACCCACUUACCUCAGAGGAACCCAAUCAAUCCCCACAACCACCUCUCUAGAAUAUGAAGAUGGAGAUACAGAGACAGUCCCACUCUAUCGCCAGGGUAGAGUACAGUGGUGCAAUCAUGGUCCUCUGCAGCCUCCAACUCCUGGGCUCAAGCUAUUGUCCUAUCUCAGCCUCUCAAGUAGCUUGGACUGCAGCUGAGAUUCCCAGCAAGCAGUAGGCUCCCAUCCUGGACUCCAAGGAGACAACUCUUCCCUGCGCCUUCACCUGGAAAGCUGUUGCCCUCUCUUCCCAGAUCACAAUCACAAGACUCCAAAUUACCGAGUGGGGUCCAACGAGGUGGGACUGUAAGGAACAUGUCCUGUGGACAUUACCUUCACUGUUCUCAUGAGUGGGAUGGGAAGAAAAGAGUCCUCCCCUUCCAAUUGGUGGAUUUUCUGGGCUUGGAAGGAGGAAAACAAAAACAAAAACAACCAAACAGAAAAUAACUAUUACCUGAAUUAUUAUGAAACUUCAGAGAAAACUACUUAUUUGAAGAAAAUAAAAUACGAUUUAUGUUGUUGAAUUUGCAUUGCCAGAAAGUUUCCAGUGUCCUUACUACAAUUUUUUUUUUUCACCAUCAAGUUUGGUCAGAAUCUCACAGCUCAGAGAAAACGAUGGAGGAAUAAUAAGAUCUAGAGCAGUGCUUCUCGUAUCUUAUGUGUGAAGAAUCUUUUAUUAAUUUGUUUAAUUUCCAGACUGACAGUUUUGUAAAAUGCCUUAUUAGAAAAAAUUUUAAAAAUAAAGAAAUAAAAAGUCAAGCCCCAAAUAUUGUA